AGAGUUUGAUCAUGGCUCAGAACGAACGCUGGCGGCGUGGAUAAGACAUGCAAGUCGAGCGGGAUUUUUUCCUGUAGCAAUACAGGGAAAAGUCUAGCGGCGAACGGGUGCUUAACACGUGGGCAACCUGCCAAGAAGUGGGGGAUAGCUCGCCGAAAGGCGAAUUAAUACCGCAUGUGAUCAGAAUGGACAUCCAUUCAAAAUCAAAGUCGGGGCAACCUGACGCUUCUUGAGGGGCCCGCGGCCUAUCAGCUAGUUGGUGGGGUAACGGCCCACCAAGGCUUAGACGGGUAGCUGGUCUGAGAGGACGACCAGCCACACUGGGACUGAGACACGGCCCAGACACCUACGGGUGGCAGCAGUCGAGAAUUUUUCUCAAUGGGGGAAACCCUGAAGGAGCGACGCCGCGUGGAGGAUGAAGGUCUUCGGAUUGUAAACUCCUGUCAUUGGGGAACAAUGCGCAAAUAUUAACUGUAUUUGCGUUGAUAGUACCCGAAGAGGAAGAGACGGCUAACUCUGUGCCAGCAGCCGCGGUAAUACAGAGGUCUCAAGCGUUGUUCGGAUUCAUUGGGCGUAAAGGGUGCGUAGGCGGCGCGAUAAGUCGGGUGUGAAAUCUCGGAGCUUAACUCCGAAACUGCAUUCGAUACUGCCGUGCUUGAGGACUGGAGAGGAGACUGGAAUUUACGGUGUAGCGGUGAAAUGCGUAGAUAUCGUAAGGAAGACCAGUGGCGAAGGCGGGUCUCUGGACAGUUCCUGACGCUGAGGCACGAAGGCCAGGGGAGCAAACGGGAUUAGAUACCCUAGUAGUCC
RNAcentral lists this ribosomal RNA (810 nucleotides) under uncultured bacterium. Its description in RNAcentral is "bacterial SSU rRNA". It matches the Rfam family "Bacterial small subunit ribosomal RNA", at positions 8 to 796 of the family's 1533-position model. The record is from RNAcentral.